RNAcentral lists this microRNA (22 nucleotides) under Eisenia fetida (common brandling worm). RNAcentral describes it as "Efe-Mir-10-P1_3p* (star (passenger))". The record is from RNAcentral. Lineage: Eukaryota; Metazoa; Annelida; Clitellata; Crassiclitellata; Lumbricidae.
CAAAUUCGUUUCUCGGGCGUAU